RNAcentral lists this ribosomal RNA (253 nucleotides) under uncultured bacterium. RNAcentral's name for it is "partial 16S ribosomal RNA". It matches the Rfam family "Bacterial small subunit ribosomal RNA", at positions 524 to 776 of the family's 1533-position model. The record is from RNAcentral.
UACGUAGGGCGCAAGCGUUGUCCGGAAUUAUUGGGCGUAAAGAGCUCGUAGGCGGUUUGUCGCGUCUGUCGUGAAAGCUUGGGGCUUAACCCCAAGUCUGCGGUGGAUACGGGCAGACUAGAGGCAUGCAGGGGAGAACGGAAUUCCUGGUGUAGCGGUGAAAUGCGCAGAUAUCAGGAGGAACACCGGUGGCGAAGGCGGUUCUCUGGGCAUGUCCUGACGCUGAGGAGCGAAAGUGUGGGGAGCGAACAGG